GAUUAACACUGGCGGUAUGCCUAAUACAUGCAAGUCGAACGGAAUUAAUCUUUCGGGAUUAAUUUAGUGGCGAACGGGUGAGUAACACGUGCUUAAUCUACCCUUAAAUCAGGAAUACGUACUGGAAACGGUAAAUAAUACCUGAUGUGUUUUUUAAAACGCAUGUUUUAAAAAACAAAGCAACUUCUGGUUGUGUUUAAGGAUGAGAGCGCGUCGCAUUAGAUUGUUGGUGGGGUAACGGCCUACCAAGUUAAUGAUGCGUAGCUGAACUGAGAGGUUGAACAGCCACACUGGGAUUGAGAUACGGCCCAGACUCCUACGGGAGGCAGCAGUAAGGUAAUUUUUCAACAAUGGGCGCAAGCCUGAUGAAGCAAUACCGCGUGAUUGAUGUAAGGUUUUCGGAUCGUAAAAUCUGUGGUAAAGAAAGAAAAG
Molecule: ribosomal RNA, 432 nt
Filed under: uncultured bacterium
Lineage: Bacteria
Description: bacterial SSU rRNA
Rfam family: Bacterial small subunit ribosomal RNA
Source: RNAcentral